UUUGUACUCCCUCCGUCCAAAAAUAUUUGUCCUAGGAAUGGAUGAAUCUAGACUUAUUUUAAUUAUAAAUACAUCAAAUAUAUCCAUUUUUAGGACAAGUAUUUCCGGACGGAGGGAGUAGUUA
This 124-nucleotide microRNA precursor is filed under the name Hordeum vulgare. Its description in RNAcentral is "microRNA MIR1122". It matches the Rfam family "MIR1120/MIR1122 microRNA precursor family". The record is from RNAcentral. Lineage: Eukaryota; Viridiplantae; Streptophyta; Magnoliopsida; Poales; Poaceae.